AUAUUCUGUGAGCAGGAAAGCAGGGGAUCGCAAGACCUUGCGCUGAUUGAGCGGCCGAUAUCAGAUUAGCUUGUUGGUGAGGUAAAAGCUCACCAAGGCGACGAUCUGUAGCGGGUCUGAGAGGAUGAUCCGCCACACUGGAACUGAGACACGGUCCAGACUCCUACGGGAGGCAGCAGUGGGGAAUUUUGGACAAUGGGGGCAACCCUGAUCCAGCCAUGCCGCGUGAGUGAAGAAGGCCUUCGGGUUGUAAAGCUCUUUCAGCCGGGAAGAAAACGCAUGGGUUAAUACCCUGUGUGGAUGACGGUACCGGAAUAAGAAGCACCGGCUAACUACGUGCCAGCAGCCGCGGUAAUACGUAGGGUGCGAGCGUUAAUCGGAAUUACUGGGCGUAAAGCGUGCGCAGGCGGUUUUGUAAGACAGGCGUGAAAUCCCCGGGCUUAACCUGGGAACUGCGUUUGUGACUGCAAGGCUAGAGUACGGCAGAGGGGGGUGGAAUUCCACGUGUAGCAGUGAAAUGCGUAGAGAUGUGGAGGAACACCAAUGGCGAAGGCAGCCCCCUGGGUCGAUACUGACGCUCAUGCACGAAAGCGUGGGUAGCAAACAGGAUUAGAUACCCUGGUAGUCCACGCCCUAAACGAUGUCAACUAGGUGUUGGGAGGGUAAAACCUUUUAGUACCGGAGCUAACGCGUGAAGUUGACCGCCUGGGGAGUACGGCCGCAAGGUUAAAACUCAAAGGAAUUGACGGGGACCCGCACAAGCGGUGGAUGAUGUGGAUUAAUUCGAUGCAACGCGAAAAACCUUACCUACCCUUGACAUGCCAAGAACUUUCCAGAGAUGGAUUGGUGCCCGAAAGGGAACUUGGACACAGGUGCUGCAUGGCUGUCGUCAGCUCGUGUCGUGAGAUGUUGGGUUAAGUCCCGCAACGAGCGCAACCCUUGUCGUUAAUUGCCAUCAUUUAGUUGGGCACUUUAACGAGACUGCCGGUGACAAACCGGAGGAAGGUGGGGAUGACGUCAAGUCCUCAUGGCCCUUAUGGGUAGGGCUUCACACGUCAUACAAUGGUCGGUACAAAGGGUCGCCAAGCCGCGAGGUGGAGCUAAUCCCAGAAAGCCGAUCGUAGUCCGGAUCGCAGUCUGCAACUCGACUGCGUGAAGUCGGAAUCGCUAGUAAUCGUGGAUCAGAAUGUCACGGUGAAUACGUUCCCGGGUCUUGUACACACCGCCCGUCACACCAUGGGAGCGGGUUCCGCCAGAAGUAGGUAGCCUAACCGCAAGGAGGGCGCUUACCACGGCGGGGUUCGUGACUGGGGUGAAGUCGUAACAAGGUA
RNAcentral lists this ribosomal RNA (1331 nucleotides) under metagenome. RNAcentral's name for it is "bacterial SSU rRNA". It matches the Rfam family "Bacterial small subunit ribosomal RNA", at positions 173 to 1498 of the family's 1533-position model. The record is from RNAcentral.